Molecule: long non-coding RNA, 486 nt
Filed under: Mus musculus (house mouse)
Lineage: Eukaryota; Metazoa; Chordata; Mammalia; Rodentia; Muridae
Description: long non-coding RNA chr11:108423272-108423758
Source: RNAcentral
AAAAAAAAAACGAUCCUCUAUAAGCAACCCAAAGUACCUCAUGCCAUUAACCAGUUCUCUGAGGCCCUGGGCUGCCGAACAGCUACCCAGCUUCUUAAGGCUACCCACACGUGUAGGGCAGAGAUGAAGCAGAAGAAGCAGCGAAGGCUGCCAGCGGCCAGUGCUGCGAAGAAAGCUGUUGGCAGAGGAGACCACCUGCUCUUCUAGCAGGAGCCAAAAAGGUAGAGAAUAAGAAAGCUCCACUCUUGGUGAUUGCACACAAUGUAGAUGCUACUGAGCUGUUGGUUGUCCUGCCUGCCCUGUGUCACAAGGUGGGGAUUCCGUGCAGCAGCAUCAAAGAGAAGGCCAAGCUGGGGUGGCUGGCCCACAGCAAGGCACGCACCACUGUGGCCUGCACCCAGAUUAACUCGUGAGACAAAAGAUAAGCUGGUAGAAGCUAUCAGGACCAAUGACAAAGCCAGGUACAAGGAGAUCUGCCACCACUGG